Molecule: ribosomal RNA, 315 nt
Filed under: Hemiselmis andersenii
Lineage: Eukaryota; Cryptophyceae; Cryptomonadales; Hemiselmidaceae
Description: partial Bacterial large subunit ribosomal RNA
Rfam family: Bacterial large subunit ribosomal RNA
Source: RNAcentral
GUGUGCGCCAGCAUUCGUGGAGCCAUCCUUGAAAUACGGCCCUUUGGCUGUCUGAGGUCUAACACGCAGAUAGCGUGGACACUGCUUGGUGGGUAGUUUGACUGGGGUGGUCGCCUCCAAAAGCGUAACGGAGGCUUCCAAAGGUGCCCUCGGGUCGAUUGGUAACCGACCUUAUAGAGUGCAAUGGCAUAAGGGCGCUUGACUGGGAGGCAGACAUGCCGAGCAGGCAGGAAACUGGGGCAUAGUGAUCCGGCGGACGUGUAUGGAAACUCCGUCGCUCAAAGGAUAAAAGGUACUCCGGGGAUAACAGGCUGA